GAGCCCAGAGCAAAUAGUCUUAAAAAAAUAAUAAUAAAUAAGAACUGAGUAGGUUUGCUUGUCAUUGACAAUCUCUCUUCUGUUCCAAAUAUACAUCAUGAAGAUUGCACUCAGCGCUGUCAGAAGAGUUUUCAGAGUUUAGAGAAGUAAUUACUGUAAUUGAUUCUGGGCAACCCUUAUGGCCAGGGAUCUAGAGACCAAAACCCUCCUCCUACAAGCCAUCCUGUCAGCAGCACUGACUGGAAGGGACAGCCACGCUCUGCAAGAGAAGAGGAAGGAGUCUGCUGGAAAGGAACCUCCCCUCUGAGGUCAGGUGGGGGCGGGAGGCUCUCCAGUCCUCACCCCUCCUGACGGGCCUGCCCCGGAGAGGAAGCCAGAGGGAGGGACUUCCAGGCCCAGAAGGCGAGCUCUGCCCCUUCCUGACACAGGGCACGCGGUGCACAGACAAGGGACUGGACGCGCAGGGGACUGGGACCGGCACCCAGGCGGGAUCCCCCCACCGCCGCCGGGCUCACUGUGGCCCUCGUGCCGGCUCCGUGGAAUCCAGAGCCCGCUGAGUGGAGCCCCGGCUGCUGGUGGGCGUGCACGAGGCCUUCCCGAAGGACAGCAAGAGACCCGGAGGAGGUGUCAUGGAUCUUUUUCUGCCACAACUUACGUCUGCUUUUCAAGUUGCCUGCCACCGACCCUCUAUAAAGCACUACCCUGACUCCAGGCGGCACCUCCCACAGAACCAAGAAGAGACCAGGAUUCUGCACCCCGCUUAGCAGCCCAGAGAUGGGGCGGCUCUGGGGUUCUUCCUUAGAGCCUGGUGUCCCCAGCAGUGGGAGCCAGAGCUGAGGGACAGAAAGCACGAUCACCCAGAGAGGGUACGCUACCAUCUCUCCGUCUCCUUGGAUCUUUUGGAUCAAGAAGGGGCGCCUGGGGGGCUCAAGUUGGUUGAGCAUCCGACUGCGGCUCAGGUCAUGAUCUCACACAGUGCGUGGGUUCGAGCCCCGCGGCGGGCUCUGCACCGGCGGUGUGGAACCUGCUUGGGAUUUUCUCUCUCUCUCCCUCUCUCUGCCCCUUCCCCACCUGUGCUGUCUCUCCUUCUCUCUCCCCCGACCCCCGAAAAUCAAGAAAUAAACUGAAAAAAAAAAAGAGAAGAGUUUUGCUU
Molecule: long non-coding RNA, 1153 nt
Filed under: Felis catus (domestic cat)
Lineage: Eukaryota; Metazoa; Chordata; Mammalia; Carnivora; Felidae
Description: lncRNA (ENSFCAG00000051322.1)
Source: RNAcentral